AUUGAACGCUGGCGGCAUGCCUUACACAUGCAAGUCGAACGGUAACAGGUCUUCGGAUGCUGACGAGUGGCGAACGGGUGAGUAAUACAUCGGAACGUGCCCGAUCGUGGGGGAUAACGAAGCGAAAGCUUUGCUAAUACCGCAUAAGAUCUACGGAUGAAAGCAGGGGACCGCAAGGCCUUGCGCGAACGGAGCGGCCGAUGGCAGAUUAGGUAGUUGGUGGGAUAAAAGCUUACCAAGCCGACGAUCUGUAGCUGGUCUGAGAGGACGACCAGCCACACUGGGACGGAGACACGGCCCAGACUCCUACGGGAGGCAGCAGUGGGGAAUUUUGGACAAUGGGCGAAAGCCUGAUCCAGCCAUGCCGCGUGCAGGAUGAAGGCCUUCAGGUUGUAAACUGCUUUUGUACGGAACGAAAAGACUCUUUCUAAUAAAGAGGGUCCAUGACGGUACCGUAAGAAUAAGCACCGGCUAACUACGUGCCAGCCGCCGCCGUAA
Molecule: ribosomal RNA, 498 nt
Filed under: uncultured bacterium
Lineage: Bacteria
Description: partial 16S ribosomal RNA
Rfam family: Bacterial small subunit ribosomal RNA
Source: RNAcentral